CCCAUUCAGACCCCAGUUUAGUUCAGGCACCCACAGGGAUUUUCACCACGGCCCCGCCCCCUCAGGGAACCUGCCUGACAUAGGAGGGGUCAGGACCAGGGUGGAGGUCGUAGGAAGCUGGGCUCGAUUUGGGAGAUGGGCUCGGGGGUCCCAACUGAAGCAGGGUUUUCCUCCUUUCCUCACCUUCUGGGAUCUAGUCUGGAGUUGUGGGGGGCCCCGACUUUCAUAGAAGUGCAGCCACAGCGAGCUCAGUGGAGUGCAGGGACAGCACCACACUCCUCAGGGCUGUGGGAGCUGAGGAUGGAGCCCUGCGGCCCUGAGGCCAUGAGUGGACAGAGAGAGGUGGGCAGGGGCCACCACACCAGAGAAGAGUGUCUCUACCUCGCCAGAGUUGCUGGCAGGUGCCAAGCUCCAGCCCAGGUACACGGGACCCCUGACCCUGCUCUGUUGGCAGGCAGGGGAGGGGAGGGUUCGGCACCCUGGGGUGCUUUGCCGGCAAUCUGGAGAGAGAAUGAGUGCACAUGUGUAGGCAGCUCUCUCAUCUCUGGGGGCUCCAGUGACGCCCAUCCUGGGGCUGUCUUGGUCGCUUUGCUCAGUCCAGUAUCAGGGUCUUUUUUCCCCGUUGUAGGGUCUGCAGCCUGCGGGAUGUGGACUCACAGAUGGGCAAUGUGUCCCUAGGUCUGGAUUGACCAGAAAAGCUGCUCCCUGGCCUCGGUGUGGGGAGGAGACACCACUCGUGCUCCUGGAGCCUCCUUCCCAGAGGAGGGCACCAACCCGGGGGCACUGACAGCUCUGAGGGAGCACCACCCCACGCCAAACUCAAUGGAGGGACCAGGCUGCUAUCUGGGGCCACCGUAGAGGGAAUUGCCUGCCUGCCACCUACCUAAGGGAUGGGCUCCCUUCCUCUGCUGGGACCUCCAUGGGCCUAUCGUGCCCACAAUCCAUGAGCCGUGGCCCCCAGGCAUUGCCAGGAAGCAGUCUACGUGAAAGGACGACGUGUCUAAUUUUGCAGCUACGUGGAGGAUUUGUCACACAGAACCAUCCGUUCAAUCUAGACCAUCACUAAAAGCACUCCGGAUAAUAAAUCUUCAUUUUGUAUUAACUGGAGAGGCAGCCGCCUUCUCAGAAUGGCUGUUCCCGCGUAAUCAUGAUAAAUGGAGAAUCCUGGACAGGAGAAGAGUUGCCUCGAGCUAACAUCUGUUGCCAGUCUUCCUCCUUUUUUCUUCUCCACCCCCAAAGCCCCAGUACACAGUUGUGUAGACUUGAAGCCUGAGGACUCGCACCGCAUCUAAGAUAACUGAUGAGAGAGAGGCUGAUUGGCUCACACCCUCCCUCCGCCUCGGCAGUCCCCUCCUCCUCUUCGUCCCUAGAGGCAAAUACAGCCAAAUGUGAAUGCGUGAACGGCUGCUGACUGUUGUGGCAUGUGGGACGCUGCCUCAGCGUGGUCCGAUGAGCAGUGCCAUGCCCGCGCCCAGGACUCGAACCAACGAAACACCAGGCCACCUGCAGCGGAGCGCACGAACUUAACCACUCGGCCACGGGUCCAGCCCCACGAAGGGAUGUUUUUUAACCGCUUUGAGUGACACAUCGAGGUCACCGGUGCCGGCUUCGUCGUCCCAGCACAAGGCAGGCAGCAACGGAGGACGCUGCUCUUCAUCUGAGAGCUCGUAAGAGUCAGGAAAACAAGAAUUGACAGAAGCCUCCAACUUUACCUCGAGAUGACACGAAGGGCGACUGACUCAUUCAGGAUCUUCUCUGCAAAACCUGGACUUGAGCUGGUCACUGUUUUUCGGUUCUCCUUGCACACCAUGUAAAGCCUGGCUGUACCAGCAUCUGCCACGUGGGCCUGCCUGCCCUGGGGUCACCCUCCUCUCCCCAGCCUAGAAUGCAAGCCCACCAUGGUGGGAUGUUGCUCCACUCACCACCCGGAACAUGCAAGGUGCUCAAAAAAUAUUUGCUUAAUAUCAGCAUGAAAUACUCUCUCUGCCCCGUGCUGUGCCAGACACAGGGGUUUUUCUGGAGUCAGUGCUCUAAGAGGGCCUGUAUUGAGUCAGUGCAGGAAGUUUUGUCUGAAUAAAGCAAAGGAGGC
RNAcentral lists this long non-coding RNA (2089 nucleotides) under Equus caballus (horse). RNAcentral describes it as "lncRNA (ENSECAG00000045417.1)". The record is from RNAcentral. Lineage: Eukaryota; Metazoa; Chordata; Mammalia; Perissodactyla; Equidae.